CCACUUCAACAGUAGAAAUAGAACCAGCGGACCUGAUGCAAUCUCUGCCUGUUAACCGGCCAGGAACUUGGGCGCUGUUCACAGUGCAAGGAAGCUUUCAUAAGGAGUGUUUCCCACCCCAACCGUUUGUUUCUCAAGAGCAAUCUUGUACAUCAGGAGGCACCAUCAAGGUUUAGUUUUAGUUUUCCAUAGCACACCGAGAUCUCCACAGGACGUCCUAGGACUCAGGGCCCCUCCAUCUGGCUGUACUGACUCUUCUAGAGCUCAGGAUAUGAAUUGAAGAAUGUUCGUAUGUCAAGUCCCGCCUGAAGAUUCACUCUGGGGCUGACUUCCCUUCUCAUAAGCAUUGUUGUAGAAAACAUGCCCUCUGAGGAUCUUUCUUGUAGUGGGGACUGGACAGAGAGCCUCAUGCAUAGUAGGCAGGCUCCCUACCCUGAGCUCUAUCUCCAGUCCUGUGAUCCUGACUGGAGUCUUGCCUUUCUCCCUGGACUUGGAGCCAUUGCUGGACUGUGAUUCCUAGAACAGUCCUGUCCAGUCUGGGGGCACUACCUGCCUCCACUGAUUGGAAUUCCUACGUUCCCAGCCCUCAAGGUGACAACUUUCCACACAUGAAGUGGCCUCACAGGACACCCAAGAGUCAGCUUCAGAAGGCUCAGGGGACAAUGACAUUUGCUUAUCCAGUCCGGUGCUUCGAAAGCAUGGUCCCUGGGCUACAGCCUCUGAGAGCCCCACCUGGGAGGCCCUCCCAACUUCACCUCCACAAGUCCCCAGGUGAUUUCAGUGCUGAUGAGGGAAGAAGGCAGGACUUCAAGGAGGCCUUGCUGGCAUAUGCUGCUCUUACCUUCCGGAGAUUCAGACCCACUCCCCAAGAAGACGGAGGUGAUCAGACUCAAACUCCAGGGUGUCCUGCUGUAUCCCGCCCCACAUCCUAGAAGGAAAGCCACAUAUCCUAUUGCGAGGGACCCUGUGCAAAACUGAUCCAGGGAAUCCAGAGCUGGAGGUAAGGUGUGUUAAGCGGUGUGUGAUUGGAAUCCAGUCCACAAAGUAUGCAGGAUCCCCAACCUGGCCUCAAGAUGGACCCUACAGAAAGUACAUUCACUGAGGAGGCUCCUUCCUCCGAGUCCGCGGGUUCUUCCUCCCAGUCGGCUGGUACUUCAGAGAAUUGCAAUCCUCAUGCCCUUCCAGCCUAGUCCCCUUCCCAACUCCCUGUCCCAUGAGAUCGGGAUGCAAAGCCUUAUGGGAUAAACGUCCUGAGGCAGCAGAUUGCCUGCUCUUCUCUAACUCCCCAGCCAGGAGGGGAGAAGCCCUGGAGUCUCCUCCUGCUUGUCUGUGAUGCUCUCGUGAGUCCUAAGCGCAUCUCACACCGUGGUCCAUGACAAUGCAUUUUUACAGAAGAGAGUGUCCAAUCCUCUGGAGCAGGUGUUGACAAGCAGCUGUGAGCCACCUCAUGUAGGUUCUGGGAAACCAAACUUGGGUUCUCUUGAAAAGCAGCAAUAGCUCUUCACUGCUGGGUCAUUUUUCUAGCCCCAGAGACAGGGUUCUCCAUGUAGCUCUGGCUGUCCUGGAACUCACUCUGUAAACCAGGCUGGCCUCUAACUCACAGAGAUCCUUCUCUCUCUUUCUACUUUUGUGAGUCCUAGGGGACUGGAAGCAAGCUGUCAAGCUCACCUGCAAAUGCCUUUACCAACUUGCUGGCCUGUUUCAGCAUUCUUAUCCGGGAACAUCUGUACAUAAAAUAAAUAAAUACUCUGUGCCAGCAAACUUGAUGCCAA
Non-coding RNA from Myodes glareolus (Bank vole), 1772 nucleotides. Lineage: Eukaryota; Metazoa; Chordata; Mammalia; Rodentia; Cricetidae. The record is from RefSeq and is a predicted model, not a curated record.